RNAcentral lists this ribosomal RNA (120 nucleotides) under uncultured bacterium. Its description in RNAcentral is "partial 16S ribosomal RNA". It matches the Rfam family "Bacterial small subunit ribosomal RNA", at positions 215 to 334 of the family's 1533-position model. The record is from RNAcentral.
UCGGUGAUGGAUGGGCAUGCGUCUGAUUAGCUAGUUGGUAGGGUAACGGCCUACCAAGGCGACGAUCAGUAGGGGAGCUGAGAGGUUUUUCCCCCACACGGGCACUGAGACACGGGCCCG